CUACGGGAUGCUCCAGUGGGGAAUAUUGCACAAUGGGCGCAAGCCUGAUGCAGCAACGCCGCGUGAGGGAUGAAGGCCUUCGGGUUGUAAACCUCUUUUAGCAGGGAAGAAGCGAAAGUGACGGUACCUGCAGAAAAAGCACCGGCUAACUACGUGCCAGCAGCCGGGGUAAUACGUAGGGUGCAAGCGUUGUCCGGAAUUAUUGGGCGUAAAGAGCUCGUAGGCGGUUUGUCACGUCUGCUGUGAAAAUCCAAGGCUCAACCUUGGACUUGCAGUGGGUACGGGCAGGCUAGAGUGCGGUAGGGGAGAUGGGAAUUCCUGGUGUAGCGGUGGAAUGCGCAGAUAUCAGGAGGAACACCAAUGGCGAAGGCACAUCUCUGGGCCGUAACUGACGCUGAGGAGCGAAAGCGUGGGGAGCGAACAGGAUUAGAUACCCGAGUAGUC
Molecule: ribosomal RNA, 444 nt
Filed under: uncultured bacterium
Lineage: Bacteria
Description: partial 16S ribosomal RNA
Rfam family: Bacterial small subunit ribosomal RNA
Source: RNAcentral